Molecule: long non-coding RNA, 457 nt
Filed under: Dasypus novemcinctus (nine-banded armadillo)
Lineage: Eukaryota; Metazoa; Chordata; Mammalia; Cingulata; Dasypodidae
Description: lncRNA (ENSDNOG00000050825.1)
Source: RNAcentral
CUUUGAACUUGCAGAUUUAUAGCCCUGAAUACUAUGAACAUUUAAUUUCAGAGAUUCUGAUUGUGGCCUGAAGGGGAAGCCUAUCCACAGUGGAACAGGGAGCUCCAAGUUUCAUUUGCUGCACCGGCUUCCAGGAGACAGUGCCUGACCUUUUUAACCCAUCUGAACCUCAGACCAAGUGAAGACCUCCCUUUUAGACCCCAAGACCGUCACUAUGUCCCAUGAGGACGAGGGCUUCGUUGUACAGUACCAACGCAGGAAGAACCAGUGGCCAAGGGACAAUUCGUACCCUGUCCAUAGAUAUCAAGUCUACAAAAGAGAUGUGCUUCCCCAGUUUGAACAGGAAGAUGUGUGGAGAGAAGGAAUAGGUUUUCCUCUAUACCAGCAUCCAGGUGAGCUCUAAAGACCUGUGCAUUAGAAGAGGGGUCUCAUGAUAUAGUAAGUGCUUGAAUAUUUU